UGGGGAAUAUUGGGCAAUGGGCGAAAGCCUGACCCAGCAACGCCGCGUGAAGGAAGAAGGUUUUCGGAUUGUAAACUUCUGUCCUCAGGGAAGAAGGAAGUGACGGUACCUGAGGAGGAAGCCCCGGCUAACUACGUGCCAGCAGCCGCGGUAAUACGUAGGGGGCGAGCGUUGUCCGGAAUGACUGGGCGUAAAGGGCGCGUAGACGGCUGUCUAAGUCUGGAGUGAAAGUCCUGCUUUCAAGGUGGGAAUUGCUUUGGAGACUGGAUGGCUUGAGUGCGGAAGAGGUAAGUGGAAUUCCCAGUGUAGCGGUGAAAUGCGUAGAGAUUGGGAGGAACACCAGUGGCGAAGGCGACUUACUGGGCCGUAACUGACGUUGAUGCGCGAAAGCGUGGGGAGCGAACAGGAUUAGAUACCCUGGUAGUCCACGCGGUAAACGAUGAGUGCUAGGUGUAGCGGGUAUCGACCCCUGCUGUGCCGGAGUUAACACAAUAAGCACUCCGCCUGGGGAGUACGGCCGCAGGGUUG
This 528-nucleotide ribosomal RNA is filed under the name uncultured bacterium. RNAcentral describes it as "bacterial SSU rRNA". It matches the Rfam family "Bacterial small subunit ribosomal RNA", at positions 355 to 896 of the family's 1533-position model. The record is from RNAcentral.